GGAUUGUGGCUCAGUGGUAGAACACUUGCCUAGCAUGUGCAGGGGCCCUGGGUUCGAUUCUCAGCACCA
This 69-nucleotide transfer RNA is filed under the name Marmota monax (woodchuck). Its description in RNAcentral is "tRNA.Ala". The record is from RNAcentral. Lineage: Eukaryota; Metazoa; Chordata; Mammalia; Rodentia; Sciuridae.